This is a long non-coding RNA of Vicia villosa (hairy vetch), 1285 nucleotides long. RefSeq lists it as uncharacterized. Lineage: Eukaryota; Viridiplantae; Streptophyta; Magnoliopsida; Fabales; Fabaceae. The transcript is spliced from 3 exons. The record is from RefSeq and is a predicted model, not a curated record.
UGCAUCUCCGAAUUUUUUUAAUUUUUUAUUUUUCCAAAUUAUGGAAAUACACUUCCGUAAUUUCUAUCCAUUUCCGUAAUUUCUAUCCACAAAUAAAAAUGUUUGUUUUGGCAUGUCUUUCAUAUGGGUUUGACUUAUUUGACUAUGAUAUGAUUUUCUAAUUUUACUAUAAGUGUAAUGGCUGAAAACAAAGACAAAUUGAGAUAUGAUUGAGUGGCUUAACAUGCAUCGGUUUACAGACAGAGGGCCAAAACCUCGCGACCACCAAUUGGUGCGACUUAAUUUCAUCCAUAAGCAUUGAUUUUCCGAGAUCACGUGUCUCCAUCAUCGUCUUCUAGGAGGCACAUUUUCCACGAAGCCAACAGGAGGAACCUGCUGCUGCGGUUCUUGAUAGUUUUCUUGGAGGCCCUUAUGAUAUCUCUCCAUUUCCUCUUUAUACAAAGCAUGCUACUAAACAUGUGUGGGAAGGAGAGGUAUAAGACCAUUAACCAUGACACAGUGGCAGCUUUUGUGGAGAGUUGAGACUCGGAGACGUCAUAUUUUUAUAUUCCAAUUGGUGAGAUGUCCAUCACCCUUGAUGAUAUCUCAUGACUCCUAUAUCUCCUGACCAGGGGAAUAUUACUAAACCACUCCAAAAUGUCUGUACUUGAUGUAAUGAAUACGAUGGUGAAUUAUUUGGGAGCUGAUAUAAAUGAAUCCCAAAUUGAGAAUGAUACCACAAGAGGAGCUCAUGCUAUAUUUUCAUAUUUGGAGAUUUGUACAAAUAUCACCUGGUUGCAACAAUGGAGGUCAAAGGUGACGACGGACAAAUUUUGUACCAUAGACAAUGUGCAUUGAGGUCAUACCUCAUGUACUUGGUUGGCACACCCAUAUUUGUAGACAAAAGUGCAAGCUACGUCAAUAUAGUAUGCCUGACAUACUUCAUUGACUUAGAGCAGAUCCACGAGUACAAUAAGGGAGUCGUGUGUUUAUUUUAUCAGUACUCCAAAUUAGGUUAAGCUUGUCUUUGGAAGACAAUACAGUUGACAGGAAGCUGGACACUUUUUACGUCAUGGAACCUCUCUCACUUUCUUUCAUAUCCGGUUAGGCACUUGACAAUAACUAAACUUAGAAUUGGACACAUGAUUGCUCUUGUGUCCCACUCAGAGAGAAUCAUGCAAUAGAUCCAUUUAAGGUAUUUAUUGACAACAUUGCAGCAGAUGACUUAGGGUCUGUUUGUUUGGGGGUAAAUGGAGGGGAGGGGUAGGAAUGUUUAAUAGUUUAUGUGUUUGUUUCAAAUUUUAAG